This 460-nucleotide ribosomal RNA is filed under the name Neisseria shayeganii. RNAcentral describes it as "bacterial SSU rRNA". It matches the Rfam family "Bacterial small subunit ribosomal RNA", at positions 9 to 465 of the family's 1533-position model. Lineage: Bacteria; Pseudomonadati; Pseudomonadota; Betaproteobacteria; Neisseriales; Neisseriaceae. The record is from RNAcentral.
GAGUUUGAUCAUGGCUCAGAUUGAACGCUGGCGGCAUGCUUUACACAUGCAAGUCGGACGGCAGCACAGAGGAGCUUGCUUCUUGGGUGGCGAGUGGCGAACGGGUGAGUAACGCAUCGGAACGUACCGAGUAGUGGGGGAUAACUGUCCGAAAGGAUGGCUAAUACCGCAUACGCUUUGAGAAGGAAAGCGGGGGAUCUUCGGACCUCGCGCUAUUCGGGCGGCCGAUGUCUGAUUAGCUAGUUGGUGGGGUAAAGGCCUACCAAGGCGACGAUCAGUAGCGGGUCUGAGAGGAUGAUCCGCCACACUGGGACUGAGACACGGCCCAGACUCCUACGGGAGGCAGCAGUGGGGAAUUUUGGACAAUGGGCGCAAGCCUGAUCCAGCCAUGCCGCGUGUCUGAAGAAGGCCUUCGGGUUGUAAAGGACUUUUGUCAGGGAAGAAAAGCUUUGGGUUAAUA